GAUGAACGCUGGCGGCGUGCCUAAUACAUGCAAGUCGAGCGAACGGACGAGAAGCUUGCUUUUCUGAUGUUAGCGGCGGACGGGUGAGUAACACGUGGAUAACCUACCUAUAAGACUGGGAUAACUUCGGGAAACCGGAGCUAAUACCGGAUAAUAUUUUGAACCGCAUGGUUCAAAAGUGAAAGACGGUCUUGCUGUCACUUAUAGAUGGAUCCGCGCUGCAUUAGCUAGUUGGUAAGGUAACGGCUAACCAAGGCAACGAUGCAUAGCCGACCUGAGAGGGUGAUCGGCCACACUGGAACUGAGACACGGUCCAGACUCCUACGGGAGGCAGCAGUAGGGAAUCUUCCGCAAUGGGCGAAAGCCUGACGGAGCAACGCCGCGUGAGUGAUGAAGGUCUUCGGAUCGUAAAACUCUGUUAUUAGGGAAGAACAUAUGUGUAAGUAACUGUGCACAUCUUGACGGUACCUAAUCAGAAAGCCACGGCUAACUACGUG
RNAcentral lists this ribosomal RNA (497 nucleotides) under uncultured bacterium. RNAcentral describes it as "partial 16S ribosomal RNA". It matches the Rfam family "Bacterial small subunit ribosomal RNA", at positions 28 to 507 of the family's 1533-position model. The record is from RNAcentral.